Pan troglodytes (chimpanzee) is the source of this 1708-nucleotide long non-coding RNA. RefSeq lists it as uncharacterized. NCBI's taxonomy places the organism in Eukaryota, Metazoa, Chordata, Mammalia, Primates, Hominidae. The transcript has 3 exons. The record is from RefSeq and is a predicted model, not a curated record.
GUUAUGGCUGUAUUGCCCAGGCUGGAGUGCAGUGCAGUGGCAUGAUCACGGCUCACUGCAGCCUUGACUUUCUGGGACUGAAGCCGUCCUCCCACCUCAGCUUCCUGGGAAGCCAGGACUACAGGGCAGUGAAAAUAAAGGAAUGAGGCAUUCAGGAAAAGAAGAGAGCACAGAGGGAUUUUUUGAUGGAGAAAAAAAAAAAAACCACAGAUGAGAUUAGAAGAAGAUCUGCUACAGCAACAGAAAAAGAGAAUGCCAAGAAGGGGAAGAGUGAAGGCUGGAGAGCGGAAGCCAGUGCCAAAACAUUCCGAAGCUACCCAACAUCUAAGAAAGGUGGCCUGAGGGAGAUUGCAAGCACUAACCGCUAAACGCUAAAUGAAGGGUUAGAUCUUAUCUAUGUCCAGAAGAAGUAAUAAGAAAGAAUGCGUAUCUCCAAAAGCUGAAAGAUUUGGACAGGACCCAAGGCGGAGGCCUGGCAUUUUUCUAAAUUGAGAUGCCAAUCCCAUCAUACCUUAGGACUAUAAGAUUCAAGGAUGAAGACUGGCUCCCCCCGUGGGGCAAAAUCAGUGGAUGGGACACAACACAUCUGCCAUCAUGAUGAAAACAGUAAACCUCUACUGAGGCUCCACUCUUGAAGCGUGCCUCUGUCAGACCCUAGUUAUCCAAGGCUGGUGCUCAAGGGAAAAAGGACGCAGUCUUGGAAGGCCAGGAAGCUUCUGUCUUACUCAUUAGCCUGAUAUGCCAGCUCCAUGUAGGUAUUCUUAAGUCUUUCUUUUUUUUUUUCUUUUGAAAUGGAGUCUUGCUCUGUCACCAGUGCAAUGGUGCCUCUUGGCUCACCACAACCUCCGCCUCCCAGGUUCAAGCGAUUCUCCUGCCUCAGCCUCCUGAGUAUCUGGGACUACAGGUGUGUGCCACCACGCCCAGCUAGUUUUUGUAUUUUUAGUAGAAACGGGGUUUCACCAUAUUGGCCAGGCUGGUCUCGAACUCCUGAUCUCAAGUGAUCUGCCUGCCUCGAGGUAUUCUUAGUCUUAAAUGUGCUGCUGUAGACACAUAUUAUUGUCACAUAGGUUAAUAUUUCUCUUGGAGAAAGAACUGAGGCAGGACACCUGAAGGUACUCUUUCAGGCAACAUUUUCACUUAGGAAAGUUCUAAAUUGAGUUUGUAUCAUUCCCUGUCCCUCCUCCUCUCCCUUUCUCUUUUCUCUUCCCUUCUCUCAUUGUCCAAAAGAUUAAAUAAAACAAAAACCUACACACAAAAGCAACAGGGAGAUCAAGAUGGUAAAGACCAAGCUCAUGUUUUAUUAGUUAGCAGACAGUGGGGCUCAGGCCGCAAGCGUCUAUGGUGGGGCCAGGAGGGGGCAGAAACUAACAUUUAUUGGGCAUUCACCAUCUGCUAGGAUCAUAAAUACUUUACCUCAUUAUAAUUCUCACAUCAAGCCUUUGGGGUGGGUGUUAUUUUCCUUAUUUUACAGGUGAGGAAAUUAAGGUUGCCUAAGCUUACCCAGCUAGUGAUCCAAACCCAUCUUCCUGGCUCUGAAGCCAAGUCUGACUCGACACCUUCCAUGUCUGUCUCUUUCCCGUUCUGGCCUUUGUCAUUAAAACCAACAGUAUCAGAAAGAUGCACUCCAAAGGUAGCAAAUGACAUUGGUAGCAACUUCAAGGGUCUUUGCGGGAAAUAAAAAAAUAAAAUAAAAAGUGAGGUCUUUACC